Molecule: ribosomal RNA, 339 nt
Filed under: Triticum aestivum (bread wheat)
Lineage: Eukaryota; Viridiplantae; Streptophyta; Magnoliopsida; Poales; Poaceae
Description: partial small subunit ribosomal RNA
Source: RNAcentral
GGCUUUGUGGCCGAUGUAGAAACAUAUAAUAAGUUCAGGCAAUCACCGGAGCCUCUCCGGUUUACUAAAUACUACUCCCUCCCUCCGUUCACCAUUAUAGGAUGUUCUAACUUUUUUCUGAAACAGAUGUAUAUAGCCGUAUUUUAGUGUAUUUGUUCACUCAUUUCAGUCCAUAUGUAGUCCAUAUUGAAAUAUAAAAAAUAUCUUAAUAGUGAACGGAGGGAGUAGAAGAUAAGGUUUAGAAGUGCUCCUCUACUGAGUAUGAACGAAGUAAAUUAUGGAACUCGCGGCGGAUCUUCCUCAAGUAUGUACAGAUAUAAAUAAAAGAUUGACGUGGGA